GCAAGACCUUGCGCGAUUGGAGCGGCCGAUGUCAGAUUAGCUAGUUGGUGGGGUAAAGGCCUACCAAGGCGACGAUCUGUAGCGGGUCUGAGAGGAUGAUCCGCCACACUGGAACUGAGACACGGUCCAGACUCCUACGGGAGGCAGCAGUGGGGAAUUUUGGACAAUGGGGGAAACCCUGAUCCAGCCAUUCCGCGUGAGUGAUGAAGGCCUUCGGGUUGUAAAGCUCUUUCGGCCGGGAAAAAAUCGCACGGGUUAAUACCCUGUGUGGAUGAUGGUACCGGACUAAGAAGCACCGGCUAACUACGUGCCAGCAGCCGCGGUAAUACGUAGGGUGCGAGCGUUAAUCGGAAUUACUGGGCGUAAAGCGUGCGCAGGCGGAUGUUUAAGUCAGAUGUGAAAUCCCCGGGCUCAACCUGGGAAUGGCAUUUGAAACUGGGCAUCUAGAGUGCGUCAGAGGGGGGUGGAAUUCCACGUGUAGCAGUGAAAUGCGUAGAGAUGUGGAGGAACACCGAUGGCGAAGGCAGCCCCCUGGGAUGACACUGACGCUCAUGCACGAAAGCGUGGGGAGCAAACAGGAUUAGAUACCCUGGUAGUCCACGCCCUAAACGAUGUCAACUAGUUGU
RNAcentral lists this ribosomal RNA (626 nucleotides) under uncultured bacterium. RNAcentral describes it as "bacterial SSU rRNA". It matches the Rfam family "Bacterial small subunit ribosomal RNA", at positions 202 to 823 of the family's 1533-position model. The record is from RNAcentral.